This 425-nucleotide ribosomal RNA is filed under the name uncultured prokaryote. RNAcentral's name for it is "bacterial SSU rRNA". It matches the Rfam family "Bacterial small subunit ribosomal RNA", at positions 355 to 796 of the family's 1533-position model. The record is from RNAcentral.
UGGGGAAUAUUGGACAAUGGGGGCAACCCUGAUCCAGCCAUGCCGCGUGCGUGAAGAAGGCCUUAGGGUUGUAAACCGCUUUCAGGAGGGAAGAAAAUGACGGUACCUCCAGAAGAAGGUGCGGCCAACUACGUGCCAGCAGCCGCGGUGACACGUAGGCACCAAGCGUUAUCCGGAUUCAUUGGGCGUAAAGAGCUCGUAGGCGGUUCGGUAAGUCGGGUGUGAAAAUCCAAGGCUCAACCUUGGGACGCCACCCGAUACUGCUGUGACUCGAGUGCGGUAGGGGAGCGGGGAAUUCCUGGUGUAGCGGUGAAAUGCGCAGAUAUCAGGAGGAACACCAGUGGCGAAGGCGCCGCUCUGGGCCGUAACUGAUGCUGAGGAGCGAAAGCAUGGGUAGCAAACAGGAUUAGAUACCCCGGUAGUCC